AUUGAACGCUGGCGGAAUGCUUUACACAUGCAAGUCGAGCGGCAGCGCGGGGGCAACCCUGGCGGCGAGCGGCGAACGGGUGAGUAACAUAUCGGAACGUACCCAGUCGUGGGGGAUAACUAUCCGAAAGGAUAGCUAAUACCGCAUACGUCCUGAGGGAGAAAGCGGGGGAUCGCAAGACCUCGCGCGAUUGGAGCGGCCGAUAUCGGAUUAGCUAGUUGGUGGGGUAAAGGCUCACCAAGGCGACGAUCCGUAGCGGGUCUGAGAGGAUGAUCCGCCACACUGGAACUGAGACACGGUCCAGACUCCUACGGGAGGCAGCAGUGGGGAAUUUUGGACAAUGGGCGCAAGCCUGAUCCAGCCAUGCCGCGUGAGUGAAGAAGGCCUCGG
Molecule: ribosomal RNA, 390 nt
Filed under: uncultured bacterium
Lineage: Bacteria
Description: bacterial SSU rRNA
Rfam family: Bacterial small subunit ribosomal RNA
Source: RNAcentral